GAUGAAGAACGUAGCGAAAUGCGAUAAGUAAUGUGAAUUGCAGAAUUCAGUGAAUCAUCGAAUCUUUGAACGCAUCUUGCGCUCCUUGGUAUUCUGAGGAGCAUGCCUGUUUGAGUGUCAUUAAAUUCUCAACUACACUGACUUUGAAUUGGUGUGGCUUGGAUUUGGGGGGAAAAUUGUUGUGGGCUUUUUGUAUAGUCUGCUCCCCUGAAAUUGAUUAGCGGUACCUUUGUGGAACUGUCUACAGGUGUGAUAAUUAUCUACAUCUUAGACAUCUGCUGGAAUGCUGCUUUCUAAACCUUACUUGUAUUGACAAUCUUGACCUCAAAUCAGGUAGUACUACCCGCUGAACUUAAGCAUAUCAAUAAGCGGAGGA
RNAcentral lists this unclassified non-coding RNA (376 nucleotides) under soil metagenome. RNAcentral describes it as "partial contains 5.8S ribosomal RNA, internal transcribed spacer 2, and large subunit ribosomal RNA". The stretch from base 1 to 120 matches the Rfam family "5.8S ribosomal RNA", at positions 35 to 154 of the family's 154-position model. The record is from RNAcentral.